Molecule: ribosomal RNA, 443 nt
Filed under: uncultured bacterium
Lineage: Bacteria
Description: SSU rRNA
Rfam family: Bacterial small subunit ribosomal RNA
Source: RNAcentral
AGAACGAACGCUGGCGGCAGGCUUAACACAUGCAAGUCGAACGCGACCUUCGGGUCGAGUGGCGCACGGGUGAGUAACGCGUGGGAAUCUGCCCUGUGGUACGGAAUAACGUCGGGAAACUGACGCUAAUACCGUAUAUCCCCUGAGGGGGAAAGAUUUAUCGCCAUAGGAGGAGCCCGCGUAGGAUUAGCUAGUUGGUGAGGUAAAGGCUCACCAAGGCGACGAUCCUUAGCUGGUCUGAGAGGAUGAUCAGCCACACUGGGACUGAGACACGGCCCAGACUCCUACGGGAGGCAGCAGUGGGGAAUAUUGGACAAUGGGGGAAACCCUGAUCCAGCCAUGCCGCGUGAGUGAUGAAGGCCUUCGGGUUGUAAAGCUCUUUCGCACGCGACGAUGAUGACGGUAGCGUGAGAAGAGCCCGGCUAACUCGCGCCAGCAGCCGC